UAAAGAUUUGGAAUUUGGUAUCUUGGAGCCCCAAAACUGUGUAAACUUGCUUAGAGACCCGUGUCUUGUGUGUUGCAGACAAAAAAAAUUUAGAAAGUAUCUAAACACCUAUUUAAAAUGUAAAAUUUAGAGGCAAACGUUCUAGGACGUAAAGAUUUGAGAUCCUAAGUCUCGCGAAAAAAAUCCUGAUCAAGAUUAAUGAAGCUUCGAAUUCCUUUUUUUUAAAAAAAAACUGUGUUCGCCA
Molecule: long non-coding RNA, 244 nt
Filed under: Sorghum bicolor (sorghum)
Lineage: Eukaryota; Viridiplantae; Streptophyta; Magnoliopsida; Poales; Poaceae
Description: long non-coding RNA (SBIC_LNC005827)
Source: RNAcentral